CGCUCAGAUUGAACGCUGGCGGCAGGCCUAACACAUGCAAGUCGAACGGUAGCACAGAGGAGCUUGCUCCUUGGGUGACGAGUGGCGGACGGGUGAGUAAUGUCUGGGAAACUGCCCGAUGGAGGGGGAUAACUACUGGAAACGGUAGCUAAUACCGCAUAACGUCGCAAGACCAAAGAGGGGGACCUUCGGGCCUCUUGCCAUCGGAUGUGCCCAGAUGGGAUUAGCUAGUAGGUGGGGUAACGGCUCACCUAGGCGACGAUCCCUAGCUGGUCUGAGAGGAUGACCAGCCACACUGGAACUGAGACACGGUCCAGACUCCUACGGGAGGCAGCAGUGGGGAAUAUUGCACAAUGGGCGCAAGCCUGAUGCAGCCAUGCCGCGUGUAUGAAGAAGGCCUUCGGGUUGUAAAGUACUUUCAGCGAGGAGGAAGGCGUUAAGGUUAAUAACCGUAACGAUUGACGUUACUCGCAGAAGAAGCACCGGCUAACUCCGUGCCAGCAGCCGCGGUAAUACGGAGGGUGCAAGCGUUAAUCGGAAUUACUGGGCGUAAAGCGCACGCAGGCGGUCUGUCAAGUCGGAUGUGAAAUCCCCGGGCUCAACCUGGGAACUGCAUCCGAAACUGGCAGGCUAGAGUCUUGUAGAGGGGGGUAGAAUUCCAGGUGUAGCGGUGAAAUGCGUAGAGAUCUGGAGGAAUACCGGUGGCGAAGGCGGCCCCCUGGACAAAGACUGACGCUCAGGUGCGAAAGCUUGGGGAGCAAACAGGAUUAGAUACCCUGGUAGUCCACGCCGUAAACGAUGUCGACUUGGAG
This 812-nucleotide ribosomal RNA is filed under the name Citrobacter sp. KSUM_66. RNAcentral describes it as "bacterial SSU rRNA". It matches the Rfam family "Bacterial small subunit ribosomal RNA", at positions 21 to 822 of the family's 1533-position model. The record is from RNAcentral. Lineage: Bacteria; Pseudomonadati; Pseudomonadota; Gammaproteobacteria; Enterobacterales; Enterobacteriaceae.